RNAcentral lists this transfer RNA (69 nucleotides) under Ancistrotermes pakistanicus. Its description in RNAcentral is "tRNA-Gln". It matches the Rfam family "tRNA". From Rfam's summary of the family: Transfer RNA (tRNA) molecules are approximately 80 nucleotides in length. Their secondary structure includes four short double-helical elements and three loops (D, anti-codon, and T loops). Further hydrogen bonds mediate the characteristic L-shaped molecular structure. tRNAs have two regions of fundamental functional importance: the anti-codon, which is responsible for specific mRNA codon recognition, and the 3' end, to which the tRNAs corresponding amino acid is attached (by aminoacyl-tRNA synthetases). tRNAs cope with the degeneracy of the genetic code in two manners: having more than one tRNA (with a specific anti-codon) for a particular amino acid; and 'wobble' base-pairing, i.e. permitting non-standard base-pairing at the 3rd anti-codon position. The record is from RNAcentral. RNAcentral also lists the same sequence under 4 other names. Lineage: Eukaryota; Metazoa; Arthropoda; Insecta; Blattodea; Termitidae.
UACAUCUUGGUGUAUGGUGCACAUUGGCCUUUGAUGCCUGUGGUGAUGGUUUAAUUCUGUUGGAUGUAA